UCCCUGUUAUCUCAAUAAACCAGUGACCAUCGCCGCUCAGUGCGCCACACACCAGGCCAUUGUUAGUUAGCAGAACAGGAAAGCGUUUCAACUUAUCUGAAUAAGACACUGCUCCGCGCAGGUCGAGGUAUCCGGGCCUCGGUAAAACUUAGUAUACCGCUGGAAGUCACGACUCUCUCGGUAAAUGCAUCCUCUCAGUACCAGAAAUGUAUAAAGAUGCUCAUUCGGUGCAAGGUAGUCAUCACUCAGGACCAUGCAAGAAACCUCUUCAGCUUCGCUCCUCACUAACGCUCAGAUCCAUGCCGAGGGUCAGAACGCAAGCUCCAACCCACAACAUGGCAUGCGCUUCUUUGACCUCACAGGUGUGGAGCAAGAAAAUAUACUUUUAACACCGUUCAACUACGGUUUUUUUGAUGGGAACGUUCUAUAAGCAAGCGGUCUAACCCAGACAGAAGGCUACAAGGAGAUGUGCAAUAAGGAAAAGUAUCCUAUU
This is a long non-coding RNA of Fundulus heteroclitus (mummichog), 493 nucleotides long. RefSeq lists it as uncharacterized. Lineage: Eukaryota; Metazoa; Chordata; Actinopteri; Cyprinodontiformes; Fundulidae. The transcript has 4 exons. The record is from RefSeq and is a predicted model, not a curated record.